This 683-nucleotide unclassified non-coding RNA is filed under the name Hevea brasiliensis (rubber tree). The record is from RNAcentral. Lineage: Eukaryota; Viridiplantae; Streptophyta; Magnoliopsida; Malpighiales; Euphorbiaceae.
AGAUGACCAGGCCUUACAUAGAUGUGUUGCAGCAUAUACAUCAGAUCUAAUCUUUCUUUCAGUCAGUCUGAAUCCUCACCGAAAGAUGGGUUUCGAGACAAGUUCUGUUAGUCUGGAUCAUUCGAUGUGGUUCCACAGACCUGUGAGAGCUGAUGAUUGGAUAUUGUUUGUGAUCAACAGUCCGACUGCUUAUAAUGCACGUGGCUUUGUGUGGGGGCAAAUGUUUAAUAGGAAGGGAGAGCUCGUAGCGUCAAUUACUCAAGAGGGCUUAUUGAGGCCAGCCAGAAAACUACCUCCAUUUCGACCAAUGCUCUAAUCCAUGCCAGGUCGAAUGAGAAAAGAGGACUAGUCACUACAGGUUCAUUAGCAGUAACACUGCUGUAGAGCUCAAGUAAACACUACAGAGGUUGCGAGUCGAGCUAUGACCAUAUCUUUGUUCUAUCAUUCAGAACUGGCCUGCCAUUGUCACCUUUAUAUAUUCCUAGCCCCCGCGAAAAGAGGCAUUGAAGUUGUUACAUAGAUCGACCUAUGAUAGUUCAAGUCAAAAGUUAUUGUUCUGUUUUUUUCAAGUUUCAUCUUCUAUUAGGAUAUGAUUUGAUCUCAAGAUGUCAUUUGUUUAAUGUCUUUAGUUGACUAACACUCGCUCUUUAUUCAGGAAAAAAUAAAUCCAAUGUAAUUUCAUG